AACGGUCUAUACCUGCGGUACCUGCGGAGGGAUCAUUAUAGAGUUUUUAACUCCCAAACCCAUGUGAACUUACCUUUGUUGCCUCGGCGGAGCCUACCCGGUACCUACCCUGUAGCGCCCCGCCGGUGGACUUCUAAACUAUUGUUAUUUUAAUGAUAUCUGAGAGUCUUAUUUUAAUAAGUCAAAACUUUUAACAACGGAUCUCU
RNAcentral lists this unclassified non-coding RNA (206 nucleotides) under soil metagenome. RNAcentral's name for it is "partial contains 5.8S ribosomal RNA, internal transcribed spacer 2, and large subunit ribosomal RNA". The record is from RNAcentral.